AUUGAACGCUGGCGGCAGGCCUAACACAUGCAAGUCGAACGAGUGGCGGACGGGUGAGUAAUGUCUGGGAAACUGCCUGAUGGAGGGGGAUAACUACUGGAACCGGUAGCUAAUACCGCAUACCAUCGGAUGUGCCCAGAUGGGAUUAGCUAGUAGGUGGGGUAAAGGCUCACCUAGGCGACGAUCACUAGCUGGUCUGCGAGGAUGACCAGCAACACUGGGACUGAGACACGGUCCAGAGUCCUACGGGAGGCAGCAGUGGGGAAUAUUGCACAAUGGGCGCAAGCCUGAUGCAGCCAUGCCGCGUGUAUGAAGAAGGCCUUCGGGUUGUAAAGUACUUUCAGCGGGGAGGCGGUACCCGCAGAAGAAGCACCGGCUAACUCCAUGCCAGCCGCCGCGGUAAUAC
This 406-nucleotide ribosomal RNA is filed under the name uncultured bacterium. RNAcentral describes it as "partial 16S ribosomal RNA". It matches the Rfam family "Bacterial small subunit ribosomal RNA", at positions 30 to 526 of the family's 1533-position model. The record is from RNAcentral.